This 180-nucleotide non-coding RNA is filed under the name Geomicrobium sp. JCM 19038. RNAcentral's name for it is "Lysine riboswitch aptamer". It matches the Rfam family "Lysine riboswitch aptamer". From Rfam's summary of the family: Riboswitches are metabolite binding domains within certain messenger RNAs that serve as precision sensors for their corresponding targets. Allosteric rearrangement of mRNA structure is mediated by ligand binding, and this results in modulation of gene expression. Lineage: Bacteria; Bacillati; Bacillota; Bacilli; Caryophanales. RNAcentral also lists the same sequence under 1 other name. The record is from Rfam by way of RNAcentral.
UCUGGGAGUAGAGGAGCAAUAACCAUUAGUACGAUUACGGAGGUACGUGAGUGCCUAUGAAGUAUUCUGAAAGGGGAAAUUGCCGAAGCUAAAGAGAGCUCACGCUUUUGAGGCUGGUUAUACACUGAAUAAGUGUAUGGCUGUCAUAUAGCACUUGCUAUAUGGAGGGCUAUCUCACGC